AGGGGAUGCCCAGGAUGCCCAGAGCAGGACAGGGAUGCUGGAACACGUCUGGAGGACAGGACAGGGGAUGCUGGAGUGAUGACAGGGGGUCCUCAGGGAUGCAAGGAGGACCAAGAGAUACUGGAGAGCCUGGAGCAGAAUGCAGAAUGGCCAAGAACUCGGGAAAAACAAGGCAGAUUGGAGAAAGGUCAUCUGAGGCUGGGACUGGGAGAAUUCCCUUCUUUGAAAUCCCCAGCAGAGUUGAGGAGCAGGUACCAACAACCCUCCUGUUCCCAUGGACUGAGGUCAGCCACAUCCAAAUUUGCAGGGAUUUCUAAGUGUGCAUGCAGACACUUGUUUUCCCAUUAAAAAAAAAUAAAUAAAUAAAAAGGAGAAAAAUAUAAGUCUGUAAUUGAAGCUGCUGAGACUGCAGUUUCGGAGCAGCCCUGCUGUGAUGUAUCAGUUCCUUCUUCUCAUUUUCCAGCUUCCCCAGCAUCCUGUUGUGCACCAAUAUAUGUCUGUGCUGCAUCUUUCCCACUCUCCCCACCACUAAUUCUUGGAUUCUUGGUGGUUGUAUUGCUUAUUUUGCAAGAUGUCUGACUAUUUGUUUGAAAUAAUAUUGUAUUGUUUUUGAACAGUUCCAAUGGCAAUGUUUGGAAUGAAUGGUUUUUAAGCUCUAGUGUGUUUUUGCACAAAGGCAUUUUUGACUCCUUAUAUAUUUUGGACAUUAUUACUGAUUCCAGAGUAAGAUCUUGGCUAUUAAAGCCCUUAAUCAUAUAGGGUUUUUUAUUAUUUGUAUUCCCAAAGUAGUGAGAAGUCUAAAUGUGAGGGAGAAUCCCAGCAUCAUGUGAAUACAUGGAAAUAAAUGGGCUGUCCCACAGAUGU
Molecule: long non-coding RNA, 864 nt
Organism: Myiozetetes cayanensis
Lineage: Eukaryota; Metazoa; Chordata; Aves; Passeriformes; Tyrannidae
Exons: 3
Source: RefSeq, a predicted model, not a curated record